This 40-nucleotide non-coding RNA is filed under the name Mycobacterium tuberculosis. Lineage: Bacteria; Bacillati; Actinomycetota; Actinomycetes; Mycobacteriales; Mycobacteriaceae. The record is from RNAcentral.
GCAUAUCGCCCGCCACACCACAGCCACGCUACUGCUCCAU